Molecule: ribosomal RNA, 468 nt
Filed under: uncultured bacterium
Lineage: Bacteria
Description: partial 16S ribosomal RNA
Rfam family: Bacterial small subunit ribosomal RNA
Source: RNAcentral
GACGAACGCUGGCGGUGUGCUUAACACAUGCAAGUCGAACGGUAAGGCCCUUUCGGGGGUACACGAGUGGCGAACGGGUGAGUAACACGUGAGUAACCUGCCCUCAUCACUGGGAUAACAGUCGGAAACGGUUGCUAAUACUGGAUAUGAGCUUGCAAGGCAUCUUGUGGGUUGGAAAGAUUUUUUUUGGUUGGGGAUGGACUCGCGGCCUAUCAGCUUGUUGGUGAGGUAGUGGCUCACCAAGGCUUCGACGGGUAGCCGGCCUGAGAGGGCGACCGGCCACAUUGGGACUGAGAUACGGCCCAAACUCCUACGGGAGGCAGCAGUGGGGAAUAUUGCACAAUGGACGGAAGUCUGAUGCAGCAACGCCGCGUGCGGGAUGACGGCCUUCGGGUUGUAAACCGCUUUCAAUUGUGACGAAGCUUUUUUGUGACGGUAGCAGUAGAAGAAGCACCGGCUAACUACGUG